CCUACGGGUGGCAGCAGUGGGGAAUAUUGGACAAUGGAGGGAACCCUGAUCCAGCGACGCCGCGUGAGUGAAGAAGUCUUUCGGUAUGUAAAGCUCUAUCAGCAGGGAAGAAAAUGACGGUACCUGACUAAGAAGCCCCGGCUAACUACGUGCCAGAAGCCGCGGUAAUACGGAGGGGGAAAGCGUUAUCCGGAUUUACUGGGUGUAGAGGGAGCGUAGACGGUUCAGCAAGUCUGAGGUGAAAGGUCGGGGACCAACCCAGGUAAUGCAUUGGAAACUGUUGAACUGGAGUACAGGAGAGGUAAGCGGAAUUCCUAGUGUAGCGGUGAAAUGCGUAGAUAUUAGGAGGAACACCAGUGGCGAAGGCGGCUGACUGGACUGUAACUGACGUUGAGGCUCGAAAGCGUGGGGAGCAAACAGGAUUAGAUACCCGUGUAGUC
This 440-nucleotide ribosomal RNA is filed under the name uncultured bacterium. RNAcentral's name for it is "partial 16S ribosomal RNA". It matches the Rfam family "Bacterial small subunit ribosomal RNA", at positions 338 to 795 of the family's 1533-position model. The record is from RNAcentral.